UAGAGUUUGAUCCUGGCUCAGAUUGAACGCUGGCGGCAUGCCUUACACAUGCAAGUCGAACGGUAACAGGUCUUCGGAUGCUGACGAGUGGCGAACGGGUGAGUAAUACGUCGGAACGUGCCCGAUCGUGGGGGAUAACGGAGCGAAAGCUUUGCUAAUACCGCAUACGAUCUACGGAUGAAAGCAGGGGACCGCAAGGCCUUGCGCGGACGGAGCGGCCGAUGGCAGAUUAGGUAGUUGGUGGGAUAAAAGCUUACCAAGCCGACGAUCUGUAGCUGGUCUGAGAGGACGACCAGCCACACUGGGACUGAGACACGGCCCAGACUCCUACGGGAGGCAGCAGUGGGGAAUUUUGGACAAUGGGCGAAAGCCUGAUCCAGCCAUGCCGCGUGCAGGAUGAAGGCCUUCGGGUUGUAAACUGCUUUUGUACGGAACGAAAAGACUCCUUCUAAUAAAGGGGGUCCAUGACGGUACCGUAAGAAUAAGCACCGGCUAACUACGUGCCAGCAGCCGCGGUAAUACGUAGGGUGCAAGCGUUAAUCGGAAUUACUGGGCGUAAAGCGUGCGCAG
RNAcentral lists this ribosomal RNA (570 nucleotides) under uncultured bacterium. RNAcentral describes it as "bacterial SSU rRNA". It matches the Rfam family "Bacterial small subunit ribosomal RNA", at positions 1 to 574 of the family's 1533-position model. The record is from RNAcentral.